RNAcentral lists this ribosomal RNA (141 nucleotides) under uncultured bacterium. RNAcentral's name for it is "partial 16S rRNA". It matches the Rfam family "Bacterial small subunit ribosomal RNA", at positions 355 to 511 of the family's 1533-position model. The record is from RNAcentral.
UGGGGAAUUUUCCGCAAUGGGCGAAAGCCUGACGGAGCAAUGCCGCGUGGAGGUGGAAGGCCUACGGGUCGUCAACUUCUUUUCUCGGAGAAGAAACAAUGACGGUAUCUGAGGAAUAAGCAUCGGCUAACUCCGUACCAG